UUUACUAUAGCUUGACACUGAACAUUGAGCCUUGAUGUGUAGGAUAGGUGGGAGGCUUUGAAGUGUGGACGCCAGUCUGCAUGGAGCCGACCUUGAAAUACCACCCUUUAAUGUUUGAUGUUCUAACGUGGACCCGUAAUCCGGGUUGCGGACAGUGUCUGGUGGGUAGUUUGACUGGGGCGGUCUCCUCCUAAAGAGUAACGGAGGAGCACGAAGGUUGGCUAAUCCUGGUCGGACAUCAGGAGGUUAGUGCAAUGGCAUAAGCCAGCUUGACUGCGAGCGUGACGGCGCGAGCAGGUGCGAAAGCAGGUCAUAGUGAUCCGGUGGUUCUGAAUGGAAGGGCCAUCGCUCAACGGAUAAAAGGUACUCCGGGGAUAACAGGCUGAUACCGCCCAAGAGUUCAUAUCGACGGCGGUGUUUGGCACCUCGAUGUCGGCUCAUCACAUCCUGGGGCUGAAGUAGGUCCCAAGGGUAUGGCUGUUCGCCAUUUAAAGUGGUACGCGAGCUGGGUUUAGAACGUCGUGAGACAGUUCGGUCCCUAUCUGCCGUGGGCGCUGGAGAAUUGAGGGGGGCUGCUCCUAGUACGAGAGGACCGGAGUGGACGCAUCACUGGUGUUCGGGUUGUCAUGCCAAUGGCACUGCCCGGUAGCUAAAUGCGGAAGAGAUAAGUGCUGAAAGCAUCUAAGCACGAAACUUGCCCCGAGAUGAGUUCUCCCUGACUCCUUGAGAGUCCUGAAGGAACGUUGAAGACGACGACGUUGAUAGGCCGGGUGUGUAAGCGCAGCGAUGCGUUGAGCUAACCGGUACUAAUGAACCGUGAGG
RNAcentral lists this ribosomal RNA (822 nucleotides) under Escherichia coli. RNAcentral's name for it is "partial 23S ribosomal RNA". It matches the Rfam family "Bacterial large subunit ribosomal RNA", at positions 2100 to 2916 of the family's 2925-position model. Lineage: Bacteria; Pseudomonadati; Pseudomonadota; Gammaproteobacteria; Enterobacterales; Enterobacteriaceae. The record is from RNAcentral.